ACGCGCGAAGACAACUUUGAAAAAAAUAUAAAAAAAAAUCGAUGAAGAAUCUUGAUUUUUUUCGUCUUAGAAGAAACAAUCUCAUCAUUGAAGAUAAUACCUUACCCUUCAUGUAUCAUGAAAAUCAUGAUACAUAUGAGAACCUGUUUAAUAUCUCACAUUUAAAAUGCAAUUCGCAAGUUCUAUUUGUACACUCGACAUUUUUAAUUCCACUGUCGUCAAAACUUUCACUUCGUCGAAACGCUUUACGGAAAACCUUCUUGUCCACAAUGCCAAAGUGGAUAAUACAUGAAUAAUAUUAUUGAUGAUUUUCUACACCUGAAGAUCUUUUCCUUACAUCGAAAGUCCUAUUUUGAACAGUGAUAUUGCUAGAAAAUAAUUGAUGAUUUUUUUAUAACUUUGCUGAGAAAAAAAAUGAUUUGAGUGAAAAUCAAUAAACCAGAAUCUUCUAGUUUGUUCAUUUUCAAUCAAAUUUUUCCCAGUGUUCAUAAUCAAAAUAAGAAAUAACAUUGCUUACAAGUAAGGAUUAUGUGCAGAUAUAAAUAAUAAAUAAAUGAACUCAUUUACUUUCCAUUAUUCACUUUAUUGAUAAAGAAUUUUUGCUAAAGGAUUAUCGGUAAAUUAAAAAUAUUUAGUUUGUGGGGCCUAAGUGAGGAGUUGCCAAUAAUACAUUUUAUACAUACAUAUGACUAUACUUAGAAGCUGCUUGACGUACAAAACUAACAUAUUACUGCUGCCACUUAAAAUACUCUGCAGUAAAUAUGCGAACUGUCGUGCCAAGCAGGAAUCGUUACUGCAGUUAUAAUGUAUGUAAUCAUCAUUACAUACUCGUCUCAACUCUCCAACGAUUGCUAAAUUUUACUAUUGGAUAACAGCCAACGUAAACGAAAAUGAACUUCGCCACUAUGUCUGGUUUCAAUAAGGUUUCAAGGUCGAUAUUUAAUUUCCGCUUCUCAAAAAGAUAUACUACGCGUAAAAAUGAUAUCCAUAAUAAAUGUUUGUCUGAAGGAUAUUAAAAACGAGAAAAUUGACUCGGAUUUUCAUUGAACACUAUACACACUUCAAUAUUCUGAUAAGAAUUUUUAAGAGAUUCAAGCUUGCAAUGUAAAAAGGCACAAUUGGAUUAUUAAAGUAUGCGCUGCAGAUCCUGCUUUAUUCUGAAGAGAGUAAGAAGCGAUCUAAGGCAUCGAAGAAAGUCAUUUAUGGAGCAGAACCAAUGUCAUUCAUGACAUUCCAGCAAGCGACAUGUUAUAUCCCGCCAACACAGAUCUUGCACGCACCAAACAAGGAACUUGUUUGGGAUCAAGCUGUGCUUGAUGGAACAAAAUUACAGUAUCCACUUCUGAAUUUGGAGUACCCAUCCCAAAAUUUUCCAGUUUCUUGGUCCUCUAAUGUCUCAUUAAUGACAACAAAUAUGUCUCUUGAAACAUUUAAAUCUCCUUCUGAACUGUCUGUUAAAUCUUUUUAUCCUCUUAUUGAUUUUUCUGCUGGACCUUCUACUGAUUCUCUUACCGCACCUCUUCGUGAGUCUCCUACUGACCUUUCUACUAAAUCUUCUACAUAUUGUUGAUCGACCAUUAACAAUCAAUGAAGUAAAUCGAGGAAAACGUGUAGAAUCCAAAGAAAAUUGUGCCGCCUCCAAAGUGAUAGAACGAUUGUCAGGACGAGCACUGAACCUGACUAUCAAUCAUUGCCAACAUUUCGGACAUUGCUUCGCGAGAUGUGCAGUCAACACUGCUACAUAUUCAGUGAUUCGAGCAAAUCGCAUUCAAUCAAGAAAUUCUUUAAAAAAAACUCGCGAAAAAUUAUUAUAUCGGUUUCACAGCAAGUUCCCAGACGUUUUUCGUCCUUUGCUUUUAAUCGCUGAUUGUGAUUGUAGUCCUUCGUGAAAGGAUACCGCUUCUCUACGAACAAUCUCACAAUGAUCGACGCCAUCGCGAUAACAGAUCUUUGCGGUAAUCGAACGAUCGGUCGUGGACGGUCGUGGACGGUCGUGGACCGUCAUGCGAACAACAAGAUCGCAGAGCGUAACCCAUUCAUUUUUCAAACGAUCACCCGCGUUUCCUCGGCAGGCGAAUGCUGAAUUGUAUACAAUCGCCGCGUUCGGAUUUUCGUUUCAGGCGAAACGAAAUCGACGGACCCUGACGUUACGCAUGGUAAAUCAGCUCCCGCAAGGCAGCUCAAUCAAGCAUAAUCUCGGAGAAUGAGAAGACCGCGACAUACCGUUUCUGACAUCCCUUGAGCUUGUCUGGCGAGUUCAUGUACCGCGUCUGUCCAUUUUAAAAUUCGGUGCGAGAACGCGAUGGCAAGAUGCCGCUGCAGAGAAAAACGACCGUAAGCGCGACAGGCAUCAAGCGAAUCGUUAAGAAAUCUAUCCGAUCAUAAGUAACGGUUUUAUUCGCUGGUUUCUCCACAACGAUGGCGGAUGGCCAAUUUUGUGUAUGGAAAACCGGACACUGAAUGACGGCGGUGGCUGCGCAAGCAAGGCGAUGCCUUGGUCGAAUUAAUCGAUGAUGGAUAUAGUGAUUUUGAUGCUUUCUGC
Molecule: unclassified non-coding RNA, 2542 nt
Filed under: Acromyrmex echinatior (Panamanian leafcutter ant)
Lineage: Eukaryota; Metazoa; Arthropoda; Insecta; Hymenoptera; Formicidae
Description: uncharacterized LOC105144504, transcript variant X2
Source: RNAcentral